Molecule: long non-coding RNA, 7301 nt
Organism: Marmota monax (woodchuck)
Lineage: Eukaryota; Metazoa; Chordata; Mammalia; Rodentia; Sciuridae
Exons: 11
Source: RefSeq, a predicted model, not a curated record
AGGAGAACGGGGACCUGGGUUCGCUGUGGCAGCUGCAGUGCGAGUCGGGAAGGGGACGGCCCCGGGUUGCUCCGCGGAGCGGCAGGGUAGGGGGUCGGGGCCCGCGCGUUCCCUCUCGGCCCCGCGGAGCGGCGGCGUCGAGGCCGCCCGCCGUCCGGGCAGCGCACCGCCGCGGGCCCUCGCGACCUCGAGAGCGCGGGUCCGGGACUUGGCGAUGCUCGCCGAGGCCGUGGGAAGAGAUUCCGGGCAGCGGAGCAUUUGCAAAACAUGCUCUGUGGUGAGCACACCCGAAGCCUAUAUGUGGGGAGUAGAUGGCUGGAAAAGCUUACUGACUUGGCACUUGAUGAAGAUUCCUUAUAGAUUUCCCAGAUCGACUGACUAAUUGGAAUAGGUCUGAGAGCUGGGCUUCCGGGGCAAGUUUUACUGAGAAAUACAAUACACAAUGGUACAGCAAAACCGUCUGGGUUUCAGAGCUGCCUGCCGAGAUGCAGAUACCGUGCUGUGAUUGGAUGGUCCUUGUUGUUCCAACACCACGUGCAUCUGAGAAACAGGGGCCCCCAUCAGGUGAAGCCACCCUGAGGGUUCUAGGACACUCGGUGUCUGCCCUCCCAGGAGCCGCUGUGACCCGACAGCCCUGGAGUCUCUUUGGUGGGAAAGAUAAUAGGAAUUCAGAGGCAAACAGUGCCAGAAGAAAUGUUUGUAAUGGCUUCAACACAGCCCUGGAGUCAACCAGACACCAAAGCAUAGUGAUGUGGGGCCCACCGGACUGAGGAUGGAAGUCUAGCUCUGUUCUUCAGCUCUCCCCAUUCUAUGAUGUGGAUAAUCAGAGUACCUAUCUGCUACGCCGACCCCUCCCUGCAGAAACGACAAUGAACAAAGGGUUCCCCUGUGCUUGGAUUGUCUUCCACCAGGGUGGAAAGGAAGAUCGUGGUUUCAUCCCAUGUCCAAUUCUGGAAAUCUGAGGAAAGAGGUUCCAAAUAUUGUGAGAAGGCUUCCCCAGACUUCACCCCUCCAGAGACUGGCAGCUGGGCUCCACAGUGAAUAGUGCUCUGAGGCCAAGGUGCAAGGUGAGUCCCCCAAAGCUCACUUGUCAUUAAGAAGGAAGUUUCCCCAGCAUGUGAUAGACAAGGUGCUCUUGUCUGUGAUCCUGGAGGCACUGUCCUCGAUACUCUGCAGGUUUGGGAACACAUGCGGUAGAAGCAAGGGGUUGCUUGUCCUCCAACAGAGGGUGUUUUGGAAAAUGGCUAAAGCUUCCUGCUCUGGUACAAUUGGCUUGAAACACUAAUCCUGGCAUUUGAAGAGAACAUCCCAUUCUCCACUUGCCUUGUUAUCCCAUUGUGCACAACGUGGAAAUGGCUUGGGUCGUUAUCAGGAACCUGUCAUGUCACCAUGUUCCAAGUUACCAGAGAAGGAACCAAGAGUUCUGUCUCUGAACCUCUCUCUCAUGUAGCAGUGUAUAACGUGUGGUUAGUCAGAAGUUAAUACGAUGAAACCAUGGGUAUCUUAGAGAUGGAGGUGAUCUUAUGGGAUAGUUCACUAUCAUCGGCCCAACCCACAUUUCUGGUAAAUGAUCUGCGCACUUUCAUCCUGCAUUUCCUGCUGGACAGUAGGGCCCAUCCUCUUUCCCUGGCCAGAGAUGGCCUUUCACGGCGUCCCUUUCUUUUCCCCAGCCCCAACUUCUGAUUUCAGAUGUGUCCAAUGGGAGGAAGGGUCCAAAGGGGUCUGGAUACAGUGCCGUCAGUGCUUCUCAGGUAAAAGUCCCGUAGAGGUUCAAAGGUGCUCCCAAGAGCUAGUGUCUUCUCUUACCCAGCAGUGUCCUGGGAUCCAGGCCCUUAAUUGUGUGGGUGAUGAGCUGCAGCGGUGCCUCUGCCUUGGUUACUUUCUGGGUGUCGUGAGGCCUAGAAGGAAGCAGACCAUAAUAUCCCAGGACAAGAUGGGUAUGUCCCGUUCGUAUUUGGGUGGGGGGCCCGUUUUCCCUUGUCACUGAGAUUUCCUCAGCUGUGGCUGAAGGAGGUGCCUUGUCUUUCUAAAGAGCAGCAGGAUUCUCAAUCCAGGGCAGGGUCUGAAGGAAGCUGACUAAACUGAACAUUUUGAUAAGGAAUGUGGGCUUUGGGGAGCUGAAGUGAACGAAGUCUCAGGAUAACCUCUCACUGUUUCUGGACAGUUGUGAAAAUGAAACAUCAGGAGGAGGUCAAAAACCUCCUGUCUGAACUUGGGAAUGUGACAAUGUCUCUCUUCCCAGAGUGGAACCUGCUCAUAGCUCAGGUGUUUGAGACCCUGGAAUACAGAACAAAAGGCAGACCAUGCUUGUCUCUGUGACACAGAUCUUCCCUCAGCUCAGAACCAUCACACCUUGGACAUGAACUUCCAGCUACUUCAGGGACCUCACCCUAUAAGUCACCAAACCCCAAGUAUCCCAGUGCCACGCAGAACCCAGAACGCAAUCCAGGAAAGCACAACUCACAGACCUCAAAUCUUUGGACACACAAUACCUCACACUUGACUGAACCUAGAUUGCUCAGCUCAGUGAAUGAGGCCAGGGACUCAGAAGAGCCCUGAGAUGUCCAGUUCUGAAAUAUAGACUCAACUGCAUGCCAACAACUUCAUAACUCACGACUUAAAAACCCAAAUAGCUCCCAGACCUCCCACCCUGGACAUACAAAUCCACAAAAGCUUGGAUCCCUACCCUGGUAUGCAGGCACAUGCACAUCUGAGAGGACUGGUACUGAAAACACAGAGACCUCAUGCAUGAGGGUAUGUGUAACCAACAUCUCAGAGAAGUCAGAGCCUGGUGCACAAAGCCCAAAGUUUGCAAACCAGGAAAUGGUCAACCCCUCAAAAUUGCAGCAACCUCAGUCCCUGGGAUACAGACUUAUGAUUGGGUCACAGAGGUCACAUUCAGGAUCCAGAAUCAAAAAAGAUCAGACACCCUUGUUUUGGAUAACAUCUAUGAUCUCAUGAGCAUAGGAUGAGGAAUGUCGGGUUGCAUCACAUUUUGCACAUCGCUACUCUGCAGAGCUCAAACCCUAAUUCUGGACAUGCAGAACAAAAACUGCAGAGAAUGUAUAUGGUAGACACAGCACCUAAAACAGAUCACACACCUCACACACCAGCACACACAUUUAUAAAAAACCCUGAGAUCCUUCACUCUGGACACAAGCCCCUCAGGGCUCAACAGAUCUCACAUCCUGCACAGACAUCCUGAAACGACUCAGACAACUGACAACCUAUAAUGGGCCAGGGACCUCCCAGUCUGGACGCGGACCUUGAAACAACUCAGAGUUGUGUUAGAUGGCCUUAGAAACCUACAAGUUCACCCCUUCUAGGAUCCAUGCCAGAUAGGGCCACAGCCAGGUUUCUCCCAGUCUCCUGAGUGAGACACAGGGGUGGAAUGAAAGAGAAAGGAGGGCCAGGCAUGGUGGUGCAUGCCUGUAAUCCCAGCAGUUUGGGAGGCAGAGACAGGAGUUUUGUGAGUCCAAAGCCAGCCUCAGCAAUUUUCAAGACACUAUGCAACUCAGUUCAGCCCUCACUGUAAAUAAAAUACAAAAAUUGGGCUGAGGCUGUGGAUUAGUGGUUGAGUGCCCCUGAGUUGAAUCCCUACUACCGAGAGAGAAAUAGAGAAGAAUGAGAAUGAACCCCUACAUCUGGGCCCUGGUCCAAGCACCUGAGUAUCCUUUUCCAGGGGAUGAAGACCCAGGUUCUGCCCUCAGAGGCUGCUUCUGGGCAGUGAUUCACAUAUACCGAGGCCUGAUGCACCCUGGAGUCCUGUGCCUGCCAGAUUGGGGAUAUGUUCUAGGUUAAGAUGUCUUGUGCCAUCCUGGAAAUGAACCCUCAUUGCCCUCAGGCUUGAGAUGCCCUUAUGCCACAGAAUCACUCUUUGGGUAAGGAGAGGCUGAGUGUGUCCCUGUGAACGAACCACAAUGGUCUUCUAGUGGUCAUAGCAGAGCUGAUGCUUCAGGGAACCCGCCUCCAGCUCAACAAUGGACCUCCUGCCCAGCAUCCUGUUCACCCUGAAUGGUGCCCUUCUGACUCUUGAGCAUGUGGAUCCAGGAGCCCCCUGAUUUCCUCUGCCCUCCUCAACCCUGAACAGAUGGCCCUCUGCAGAUCUUUUGAGCAUGAAUGACUCAAGAUUAAAAGGGGAGAUGGUGAAAGUGUUUGCCGCAGAGUGCCAGGGCUAUAUGACACAGACCGUACAACCCCGCCCCCUCAUCAACCCCUCACUCCCAGUCCUUUCUGUCCUCCUCUGAGUAUGCUUGUCCCCUCCUCCCAAUUCAUAAAUCAGGUAUAAAGGGAAUGGGGUGUGAGGGUCUCUGUACUUACACAUAGCUUGGUGUAAGUUGACAGAGCAGAUAUAUUCCCGCACAUAGACCAUGAGAGCAACCCUGGUGUAGGACUGUUUAUUCAUGGGCAGUCACAGCUGGGAGGCUGUGCUGUUUUGGGACUGAGGCUGAUGUGGCCUUGCUAGUGGGCCUCAUCUUCUUUGGAGACACACACUGGCUCAUAUCUGAUCCCCUGGUGGAUCUCCACUCCCUGAGGACUCAGUCUCAUACCUGCAGUGUUUCUGGAGAUGUUUCAACAAAGUCAGGGCUUAAUUGAUGCCUGGUGAUAAAUUUGUUCCCUUAAGAAUCCACCUAAGCCCUAAUUACCAAGAUGCUCUCAACAUCUCUGCUGCCUAAUGCCUAAAAACACAUCAUUUGAGCAUUUACUUCUUUUUAUGGAUCAGGUUGCCGUCUCCCUGGAGGAAUCAGGACUGGUUCUGGAGGAACCCAAUCCUCUUUGAACUGCACCCAUGGGUAUUCUGGGGAACAUAUUUCUGACUGUGAAUGGUUUUCUUGGUGUGUCUGUAAACUGAUAUUGGGCUUUCAGAUCAAUAUAAUGGGAUCCAAUCAGCAUUUAUCAAUGAGCCAGUGAUCUUACUGACCUGGUAAUACCUUAAGCCUUUUGUACAGGUGAGUCGACUGAGGUUCCAGGGCAGGAUCCUGAACUCUCCCAAUCCACCUCCACUUUGCUAUUUGAAGCCCCACCUUUGGGGCUGUAUGUUUCCAAACUAGGACAAUACCCCUGACACCCAGACCAUGCAUGUUCUCUAACCUGGAAGGUCCUGAAUGGGCAAUCACAUUAACCACAUAGAUUUUAGUGUCAUCCUUAAUUUCUGCCCUGCUGCUCCACCCUGGGACCAUUCACUUAUCUCUUCACCCUUGUUCCUGGCUGCACUAGGGCUAGAUCUGUAGAGCCAAGUAGCUGGGCCCAUAAAUGGAAUGAUGGUGACCUGAGAGGCUGCAGAGGCCUCACCCUGACUGGAUGUGUGGAGGUUCCUGCUUGGUGGGGAGCCCAAUACACAUGACACAGAAUGGUUUAUUUUAAAAUACAGGGCUCCCUUCCCCAGUGGUGUUUCCCAAAGUGUACUGCUUCAUCUGGGCCACUAAAGUGGUACAUUUCAGUGCAGGGAGGUUUCAUCCAGCCUGUUCCUUCUCAGUGUCCCCAGUGUCUGUGAUUCUCCCAGAAGGGGCUGUUUCAACCUAUUUCUUUUAAAAGUUGUUUUUAUUGGUGCAUUAUCAUUAUACAUAAUAGUGGGGUUCCUUUGACCUAGUCAUACGUGCGUGGAAUAUAAGUUGCUCCAUUUCAGUCCCUGGUGCUAAUUUUAGGCUGUUUCUAAUGAGUCUUUUCAUCUCUAUCCCUCACCCCACCCCGGACAGUACAUCCAAUGGGUGUUGCCUUUGUGACCCUGACACUGCUCAGUGGACGAUUCCAUUCCCAUCUCACUUCUCCUAAUAUUGUCUAAUGGGCCACGCCAGUUGCAUAUUCCUGUUCUUGUAGAGUGCCUAGUGUAGAGUCCAGCCUCCUAGCUGGAGCCCCUGCCCCGGGAGUGGUACUUAGGAUGUCACGAAUGGGACAUUCCUUCCCCUCCCCACUGACAGAACUGUGAAUCAACAAGACAGCUGCAGGUCUCUGUGUCUGCAUCGAUCAUUAAAUUCUACCACCUCCCCCUCAGUGGAGGGAGACUGUUGUUCACUAUAUUCUUUGCUUUCUCCCCAGCACCUAGAACAGUGUCAGGCACAGAAUAGGCCCUCCAUUGAUGUUGGUAAGGAAAGCAUCCUUUGACCUGGCAAUUCCAUGGCCAACGGUAUGUCCUGGGAAUGCAUAGUUUGUCCUGAUCACAGUGCCUUUCUCCAUGGCGUGGUAUUAAUGGAGAGUAGCAAGAAGGAGAUGCUCAUACCUACCCAACUCAAACCAAGUGCCUCACAUGUGCUAGGCAAGCACUCUACUACUGAGCUACAACCACAUCCUCACCUUUUGAGAGAGCGACUCAUUUGCUGUGGGACUUGCCCAACUCACUUAGGGAUGAAGUGAAGCGUGUGCCUCGAAUGUGUAAACCAAAAGAAUUGGACUGGAGUAACCUCAUUCCAUCCUAGUACACUGGUGGUCUCAUUGAUAUGUUGGCUCUGGUGGAAUCUCCAUUGCAAUGUUUCCACAUCUCUCCCCACUGGAGCCAUACCAUCCAGUUCAUCAUCAAAUUCUGCAAACUGGGAAAACUCUCUCCGAUGGUGUUCUGGAAAUGCCCAAUGAGCAUCAUCACAGAGGAGCCAAUCAGCUGGAAGUUUUCUGGGGCCACUUUGGCUGCGGCUCUUAACACACCAGCAGCAGAAGUCUGCAGAGAUCACUAAGAUAAAAUAGUGCAGUGUGCUGCAGAGUGGAUCAUUCACAGGAUCAGAAGAGACGAGAUCAGAAGAGAAGAGAUGUCUUGCACAUUACCGAAAGCUAGGAAUAGGAACUAAAAUGUUAAAUAAUGCCUUAAAGAUCUGUGGAAAAGAUGGCACUUAUUUUGGCGGGGGGAGUACUGGGCAUUGAACUCAGGCACUGGACCACUGAGCCACAUCCCCAGCCCUAUUUCGUAUUUUAUAUAGAGACAGGGUCUCACUGAGUUGCUUACCUCCCUCCUUACUUUUGCUGAGGUUGAACUUGUGAUCCUCCUAUUCCAGCCUCCCAAGCCAUUGGGAUUACAGGCAUGCACCACUGCACCAGGCAUGAUGGCACUUUUGACAACAUCUGUUUACAUGUUUGGAUCAGCAAUGAGCCAGUAAUUGAUUUCUACAGGAAGUUUGGCUUUGAGACUAUUGAGAUGAAGAAGAACUACUGUAAGAGGAUAGAAACUGCAGAUCAUAUCCUCAUGUCCUUCAGAAACCCCCCAAGUUUCUUCUGGUCAGAAUGCAGAUGUAUAGAAGGCAGACAACUGAACAAAUUACAAAUGACCUAUCUUGUACUUCCUUGUUACCAAAUAAAAAUGAAUCACAUCGAUCCUC